RNAcentral lists this unclassified non-coding RNA (256 nucleotides) under Hevea brasiliensis (rubber tree). The record is from RNAcentral. Lineage: Eukaryota; Viridiplantae; Streptophyta; Magnoliopsida; Malpighiales; Euphorbiaceae.
CCGGAUCAAAACAUCAGCCUCAUCCAAACUAACUUUGAUUUCCGAAAGCCAUUGAUGUUUCUGUUCUGAAUCCGAGGCGGAGAAAGAGUUGGAUUUCCGAGAAACAUUCGCGGAGAGUUCACAAUAUUGGCGCUCGUAACCCUCGAAAACCUCACUCAUCUUGACUGAAUUCUGGCGAAAGACUGAGAAAAGCUUAGUUUGACUUUCCGGCGACUCCUCCGAUCUUCGCGGCGAAAAUUGGCAGAUCGGAAAUCGG